Non-coding RNA from Epinephelus fuscoguttatus (brown-marbled grouper), 439 nucleotides. The record is from the annotation of a RefSeq genome assembly. NCBI's taxonomy places the organism in Eukaryota, Metazoa, Chordata, Actinopteri, Perciformes, Serranidae.
UUUUGGUGGAGGAACCAGACUGGAUGUUGGAAGUGAUGUCCGUCCCACCCUGACGGUGCUGCCCCCCUCCAGUGAGGAGCUGCAGCAGGGGAAGGCCACGCUCAUGUGUCUGGCCAACAAGGGCUUCCCCUCAGACUGGAGUCUGGUCUGGAAGGUGGACGGCAGCAGCAGCAGCAGCAACUGGGAGGAGAGCAGGAGCCCUGGGGUGCUGGAGAAGGACGGCCUCUACAGCUGGAGCAGCACCCUGAGGCUCCCUGCAGACCAGUGGAGGAAGGUGGGCUCUGUGACCUGUGAGGCCACCCAGGGCUCCCAGACUCCACUCUCAGAGACACUGAGGAGAGACCAGUGUUCCCAGUGUUCCCAGGUCAGGACUGGGAACACUGGUCUCUCCACUCUCAGAGACACUGAGGAGAGACCAGUGUUCCCAGUCCUGACCUGA